UACGUAGGGUGCGAGCGUUAAUCGGAAUUACUGGGCGUAAAGCGUGCGCAGGCGGUGAUGUAAGACAGAUGUGAAAUCCCCGGGCUCAACCUGGGACCUGCAUUUGUGACUGCAUCGCUAGAGUACGGUAGAGGGGGAUGGAAUUCCGCGUGUAGCAGUGAAAUGCGUAGAUAUGCGGAGGAACACCGAUGGCGAAGGCAAUCCCCUGGGCCUGUACUGACGCUCAUGCACGAAAGCGUGGGGAGCAAACAGG
This 253-nucleotide ribosomal RNA is filed under the name uncultured bacterium. RNAcentral describes it as "partial 16S ribosomal RNA". It matches the Rfam family "Bacterial small subunit ribosomal RNA", at positions 524 to 776 of the family's 1533-position model. The record is from RNAcentral.